This 844-nucleotide ribosomal RNA is filed under the name uncultured bacterium. Its description in RNAcentral is "bacterial SSU rRNA". It matches the Rfam family "Bacterial small subunit ribosomal RNA", at positions 8 to 843 of the family's 1533-position model. The record is from RNAcentral.
AGAGUUUGAUCCUGGCUCAGGACGAACGCUGGCGGCGUGCCUAACGCAUGCAAGUCGAACGGAGAUUUCAGCAAUGGAAUCUUAGUGGCGAACGGGUGAGUAACGCGUAGACAACCUACCUUCUAGCUGGGGACAACACUGCGAAAGUGGUGCUAAUACCGAAUGUUGUAUUUUGAGUGCAUACUUAAAAUACUAAAGGUGGCCUCUAUUUAUAAGCUAUCACUAGAAGAUGGGUCUGCGUCUGAUUAGCUAGUUGGUGAGGUAACGGCUCACCAAGGCGACGAUCAGUAGCCGGUCUGAGAGGAUGAACGGCCACACUGGGACUGAGACACGGCCCAGACUCCUACGGGAGGCAGCAGUGGGGAAUCUUCCGCAAUGGACGAAAGUCUGACAGAGCAACGCCGCGUGAGUGAAGAAGGUUUUCGGAUCGUAAAACUCUGUUUUCAGGGACGAAUGUGUGGAUUGUAAAUAAUGAUCCAUAAUGACGGUACCUGACAAGAAAGCCACGGCUAACUACGUGCCAGCAGCCGCGGUAAUACGUAGGUGGCAAGCGUUGUCCGGAAUUAUUGGGCGUAAAGCGCGCGCAGGUGGGAUAAUCAGUCUGGUGUUAAAGUUCGGGGCUUAACCCCGUGAAGCAUUGGAUACUGUUAUUCUUGAGUGCAGGAGAGGAAAGUGGAAUUCCUAGUGUAGCGGUGAAAUGCGUAGAUAUUAGAGACACCAGUGGCGAAGCGACUUUCUGGACUGUGUCUGACACUGAGCGCGAAAGCCAGGUAGUGAACGGGAUUAGAUACCCGUAUCUGUCGUAAACGAUGGUACUAGGUGUUGGGGGUAUCGACCCCUCCAG